GUUCGACGUCCUACGUGACUGCCCUCGGCUCCAUGGGACAGUCGCUCGGCGAGGCCAGAAAGCCUCUUCAGCUCGACACCCCCCUUUAGCCCCCACCUCCAUCUCCAGAGGAAUCUGUUUUCUAACGACUCGGGGAGGUUGGGCCAAAGAUUUGAACUCCAUUUUCUUCCUAACGCAAUUAUUAAAUUUGAGUACUUACUUUGUUUGAUCAAGUUCUCUCUACCUCGGAGCAACUGGCUUCUUUAUGACCUGGGUAGAGCCUUUGUACCGAGCUUCUGGGAUAUUUUCUUUCUUUCCUCUCCGAACCAUGGCCAAUCUUGGUGAGUGGGGAGUUUCAUGCUGGUGAAAUCAUUCGGCACCAAAGGUAGAACACUUUCUAGAAAACGACAUCAGCACUUGGCCAGAGUCCAAGCCGGAGCGAAGAAAAUGAUAUUAAAGAGAACAAUAAACACUAAUGCAAUUGGAAUAGCAAACAAUAAACCACAAUAAUCCAUGCUUCA
This is a long non-coding RNA of Ornithorhynchus anatinus (platypus), 500 nucleotides long. RefSeq lists it as uncharacterized. The record is from RefSeq and is a predicted model, not a curated record. The transcript has 2 exons. NCBI's taxonomy places the organism in Eukaryota, Metazoa, Chordata, Mammalia, Monotremata, Ornithorhynchidae.